GGAGCUUGGUUACUUCCCUUCAAAGUGGAAGUUAGCUAAAGUUAUCCCAGUUUUGAAACCGGGGAAAGAUCCUUCCCUUUCCAAGAGCUAUCGGCCCAUCAGCUUACAGGUCUGGACGCUUUAACGGAAUAUUUUACAAGCUGGAAAAUUGUAAUCAAUGCAGCAAAAACUCAGGUCAUCUUGUUUCCACAUUCAAGAUCUCCAAAACUUGUUCCAUCAGACGAAUGCCGAAUACGAUUCGGUGAUGAGGUCAUCCAAUGGUCCGACGAAGUUAUCUAUCUAGGACUCACCUUUGACAGACAUCUGAUAUUCAGGUCACAUGUUGACAAAAUCGUUCAAAAAUGCAGCAUACUCAUUAGGUCUCUGUAUCCGCUGAUUUGUAGAACAUCUAAACUUUGCCUGAAGAAUCAGAUGGCUGUAUAUAAACAAAUCAUCUACCCCGCAAUUGAAUACGCAGUCCCUGUUUGGCGGGGUUGUGCACGAACACACAAACUUAGGCUUCAGCGCAUUCAAAGUAAGAUCUUAAAGAUGAUUCUAAAUCUACCCCCUUGGACAAGGACUAGUGAAGUACAUGAGAUGGCCUCCCUGGAUAUACUAGAACAAAAAUUCGAACAAUACUGCACGAAAUUUGAAGAGAGGUGCUCAAUCUCUGAAAUACAAAUAAUUCAAAAUUUGUACGUAUUAGGUUAGGGAUAGUUAUAAGUAGGUAGAUAUUUUAUUAAUAAUUAAAAUAAAUGUUAUGAUUAAACAUUAGCAUGUAAAACAAGAGUAACUAAAACACCUAUUAUUAAUAACGAAUCGUAUGAACAACAAAGAUGAAAGGCCGAAGGGUCAAAACACUUGUACUGUAAAAUGUUGAUGUAAAACACAAAAUAUAAGAUUAAUAAACAAAUAUUUAUGCAAAAUUCUACUCUACCUUAUGAAAUGGCGAAGUUUCAUGUGAACGGUAGAGAUAAAAUCGAUCUGUGCUGGUCGUUGUGCGGCUAUUUGAAAUGUUAAAUUGGAGUACGAUUGGAAGUACAAUUUUGAAGCUCUUUAUUCCGCCCGUCAACAGAAAAACGUUUUGAUGAGACUAGUCCACAAUCCGACAAGGUGUGGAAUAGUCGGAAAAAUAUAGUAAUAAUAUUAACAACACUUUCAUAUAAUUUCCAUACUUCAAAGUGACACUCAUGCUAUUCAAAUUAUUCAAAUUUGAUUCAUCUUGCACGUUGGUCAUUUCCAUAAACAUCUCUCGUAUGACUUUUAUUUGAUGGGCUCUCAUAUCGAUAUCAAAUAUGAAUAUUUAUAGCGCCUUCCAGUUGCUAAAAUAUAAACACAUUUGUAUUGAAUUGAACAAAUGGAAUUUUACUUAGCAACAUCCUGUUGCGCAAACAAAUUUGCCAUUAUAAAAACACCAGCAACGGUCGGGAAAUUCACAGUUCUUUUACGAUUCUGUUCAAGAUGAAGUUCUUGUUGCUUGCUGUAAUUUUCGCAAUCGUUGCUAUUGCAGGUGCUGUAUUCCAAACUGGUAAAGAUUCGACUAACGAAAAUGUUGCGGUGAACUACAUACCAGGAGAUGACUUCGCAUCGAAUUUUAUACCACGCCAGGCUCCUCCCCCCCUUUUUUAAUAAGUAAUGCCUACAUGCGUUCUUCGGUCGGAAACGGUAAUGAACUCCCAAAUUUGACUUAAAAGAGGAGUCUUUUUUUUUCAUGUGGAGCACAUUUUUUUUGGAGUGUUAUAUAGGAGAUCCAAAAUAGAACUGAAAACUGGAACAAACGUAUCCCCAGCAAACCGUUCUAGUUCUAUUUAUUCGAACAGUUCUUCUAUUCAAAAUUGGCAUACGCUGCCGUUCUUUUUUUCUGUUUUAAAACACGAGUAAAACACUGCUGGGGCUGCCAGUUUUUCUUGUUAUAAAAUCCAGAUUUAAAUUUUAAAACUGACAUAAAUUAUGCAACUAGAACUGGAACACUACUGAAUAUGCCCUAAAAAUAUAAGCUAAAUACAUACCCUAAAAUUACAUGAGAUACGUCUGAGGAAUGUCGCUUCCUAAUAGCAAGUGAUACAAAACGGUUCGAUGCCCUAACAGGUUUGCUUUGAUCGAACGAAUCGUUGCAUUACACAUACGACACAUUCGUCAUUUGAGGUCAUAAUUAUAGUUUCAUUCCAGCUAAACUCGAAUACAAAUUGGCGUACCGAAAAUCGAACACAGCAAGCGAUGUAAAAAAUUGCAUACAUUUGAGUUAUUGAUAUUAUUCCUUCAGAUACAAGACAAAUACAAAUUCAGGUGAACGAGAGUCAAUAUUCGUGGUUUUCGAUCUUAUUUGAGUUUUUCACGAGAACUAAAAGUGUUGUACUGUGAAUAAGUAUCAUGUGCGCCCGCACAUAAGUAACGAUGCAGGACAAUCAAUGUUGAUAGCUGGUUCUACAUCAAUAGCUCAAACAACCUCCAGAAGUCUCGCGGACCCACUGAUACGUAGAAUCGUCAUCUGGAAGACACUCGUAUUAUAUUCAAUCCACCGACCAUUGCCGAUCGCCAGCUGCAGGCUGAAUCUGCCAGAAUCGACCUUUGCGACCGAAAUACGUCACUACCCUAAUGAUAAUACCCUAGUUUUAAGUUAGUCGUUAAUCAAGAUUAGAAAAUACCCUUGGCAUCUUAGAGCAUUAGCAGUGUGCCUUUAAAUAUAUUAUUAUUGAAUAAAAAAAAAGUUUGAAUAGCUCAACCUCCAGGGGUUAAUCA
This is a long non-coding RNA of Malaya genurostris, 2718 nucleotides long. RefSeq lists it as uncharacterized. The transcript is spliced from 2 exons. The record is from RefSeq and is a predicted model, not a curated record. NCBI's taxonomy places the organism in Eukaryota, Metazoa, Arthropoda, Insecta, Diptera, Culicidae.